UACAGGGGGUGCAAACGUUGCUCGGAAUCAUUGGGCGUAAAGCGCACGUGAGCGGUUCGUUAUGUCGGAUGUGAAAGCCCUUGGCUUAACCGAGGAAGUGCAUCCGAAACUGGCGAGCUAGAGUACUAAAGAGGAUCGCGGAAUUCCCGGUGUAGAGGUGAAAUUCGUAGAUAUCGGGAGGAACACCGGGUGGCGAAGGCGGCGAUCUGGGGUCGAUACUGACGCUGAGGUGCGAAAGCGUGGGGAGCAAACAGG
RNAcentral lists this ribosomal RNA (255 nucleotides) under uncultured bacterium. Its description in RNAcentral is "partial 16S ribosomal RNA". It matches the Rfam family "Bacterial small subunit ribosomal RNA", at positions 524 to 776 of the family's 1533-position model. The record is from RNAcentral.